AGUAACGCGUGAGGAACCUGCCUUCCAGAGGGGGACAACAGUUGGAAACGACUGCUAAUACCGCAUGACACAUGACCGUGGCAUUACGGACAUGGUCAAAGAUUUUAGUCGCUGGAAGAUGGCCUCGCGUCUGAUUAGCUGGUAGGCGGGGUAACGGCCCACCUAGGCGACGAUCAGUAGCCGGACUGAGGAGGUUGACCGGCCACACUUGGGACUGAGAUACGGCCCAGACUCCUACGGAAGGCAGCAG
Molecule: ribosomal RNA, 250 nt
Filed under: uncultured bacterium
Lineage: Bacteria
Description: partial 16S ribosomal RNA
Rfam family: Bacterial small subunit ribosomal RNA
Source: RNAcentral